GUAUGGAGCAGACCCUGUCCCUGCAGAAGGUCAGUCACUUGACUGGUCUGAUCGCCUGUUUCUUGAUGUGUACCCAGAAGAACGAAGGAAGCCCAAAUUCUGGCCACAAAAUCCAAGAUCUUUCAGGUGUUUCACCCUGUCCCUUUGUAUAUUGACUGUUGGAAAAUAUACUUAAAAAGCCUUAGAAACGGUUGAAGUAUGACCUGAAUACUUGUCACACAUGAAUUUGAUCACUCUUUAGAGGGAUUAUUUCUGACAUCUGAUAUGUUGCAUAUCACUUAAAAUUCUCAACACCUUCUAUAUAACUCAGCAUCAUCGAAUUCAAAGAGGUGUAACUGGUUUCAGUUUGAGCUUCAUUCUCCUUCUUUUUAAAUUUCUGAAUGUCUAUGAUAAGAUUUCAUAUAUUCAAAUAUCACUUUGCUCAUUUUUAAUAUGCAUGUGGUUUAUUCACAAUUACGCAGAGA
This 464-nucleotide long non-coding RNA is filed under the name Manihot esculenta (cassava). RNAcentral's name for it is "long non-coding RNA (MESC_LNC002510)". The record is from RNAcentral. Lineage: Eukaryota; Viridiplantae; Streptophyta; Magnoliopsida; Malpighiales; Euphorbiaceae.